RNAcentral lists this ribosomal RNA (324 nucleotides) under uncultured eukaryote. RNAcentral's name for it is "partial 18S ribosomal RNA". It matches the Rfam family "Eukaryotic small subunit ribosomal RNA", at positions 1470 to 1796 of the family's 1831-position model. The record is from RNAcentral.
CCCUUAGAUGUUCUGGGCCGCACGCGCGCUACACUGAUGCAUUCAACGAGUUUCUUCCUGGUCCGAGAGGAAUGGGUAACCUUUUGAAAGUGCAUCGUGAUGGGGAUAGACUAUUGCAAUUAUUGGUCUUCAACGAGGAAUUCCAAGUAGACGUAGUUCAUCAGACUGCAUCGAUUACGUCCCUGCCCUUUGUACACACCGCCCGUCGCUCCUACCGAUUGAAUGCUCAGGUGAGCCAUUCGGACUUUCAUCAUGCUGGUUUCCAGUUUUGAUGAAGGAAAGUCUUGCGAACCUUAUCAUUUAGAGGAGGGAGAAGUCGUAACA